RNAcentral lists this non-coding RNA (400 nucleotides) under Salinivibrio sp. KP-1. RNAcentral describes it as "Bacterial small subunit ribosomal RNA". It matches the Rfam family "Bacterial small subunit ribosomal RNA", at positions 1 to 385 of the family's 1533-position model. The record is from Rfam by way of RNAcentral. Lineage: Bacteria; Pseudomonadati; Pseudomonadota; Gammaproteobacteria; Vibrionales; Vibrionaceae.
AAAUUGAAGAGUUUGAUCAUGGCUCAGAUUGAACGCUGGCGGCAGGCCUAACACAUGCAAGUCGAGCGGAAACGGCAGUAUUGAAGCUUCGGUGGAUUUACUGGACGUCGAGCGGCGGACGGGUGAGUAACGGCUGGGAACCUGCCCUGACGAGGGGGAUAACCGUUGGAAACGACGGCUAAUACCGCAUAAUGUCUACGGACCAAAGGUGGCCUCUACAUGUAAGCUAUCGCGUUGGGAUGGGCCCAGUUAGGAUUAGCUAGUUGGUAAGGUAAUGGCUUACCAAGGCGACGAUCCUUAGCUGGUUUGAGAGGAUGAUCAGCCACACUGGGACUGAGACACGGCCCAGACUCCUACGGGAGGCAGCAGUGGGGAAUAUUGCACAAUGGGGGAGACCCUG